Molecule: ribosomal RNA, 253 nt
Filed under: uncultured bacterium
Lineage: Bacteria
Description: partial 16S ribosomal RNA
Rfam family: Bacterial small subunit ribosomal RNA
Source: RNAcentral
UACGUAGGCAGCGAGCGUUGUUCGGAGUUACUGGGCGUAAAGCGUGCGUAGGCGGUGUCCUAAGUCUGUUGUGAAAUCUCCCGGCUCAACUGGGAGGGUGCGGCGGAAACUGGGAUGCUGGAGUACGGGAGAGGUAAGCGGAAUUCCUGGUGUAGCGGUGAAAUGCGUAGAUAUCAGGAGGAACACCUGCGGUGUAGACGGCUUACUGGACCGUAACUGACGCUGAGGCACGAAAGCGUGGGUAGCAAGCAGG